UACUUCUUGAAUUUGGACUGAAUUGAACUGAACAAUACGAAAAGACAAAAGUGAAGUGAUGUGAGAUCUGAGCAAGACUUCAAGAAAUUGCCAUUUUUACUUUUUCCCUCUAGGAUGCUACUAUCUUCAUGUGAGGAGUCAUUCCAGUUGUUUCCAGCCAUCUCUGUGAUGUUUUAGACACAAGAAAGAGGCCACCCAGGACCCUUCAGCCCUCAGCUGUCAUGUCUCUUAAGUGCAACUGUAUAGGUGACCUAUGAGAAUUCUGCCUAAGAACCAUUCAGCUAAGAUCAGCCUAAAAUUUAAAAUAAAAAUGUGUGGCAUUUCUGUUGUAGCUAAGUGGGUUAAGAACCCAACUAGUAUCCACGAGGAUGCAGGUUCCAUUCCUGGCCUUGCUCAGUGGAUUGAGGAUCCAGUGCUGCCGUAAGCUGUGGUAUAAGUCUCAGAUACUGCUCAGAUCCUGAGUUGCUGUGGCUGUGGCACAGGGCUGGCAGCUGCAGCUCCAAUUCAACCCCUAGCCUGGGAACUUCCAUCCUGUAGCAGGUGUGCAGCCCUAAAAUAAAAAAAUAUAUAAACAUAAAAAAAUAAAAAUUGAAAAUAAAAAGUUGUUUGUAACCACUAAGUUUUGGGCUGGUUGUUUAUGUGGCAAUUGAAAACUCAUCAUUCCUCUAUCUCUUUGGCAAGAAAACAGUCAUUAUUUUGUUGCUUUUUUAUUUAAAAGUGGGUUUUUAGUAAUUCUUUAAAAAAAUCUGAAAAAGACCAAUGAGAAAUUUCUGUGUAUACCAGAAAAGGAAUGUUGGAGUUGAAGGUGAUUUUUUUAUUAAUGUGGAAUUUUUAAAAUGUCUGUUAAUACUAUUUGCAAAGCAAAUAAGAAAUAAUAAAUUUAAAAUGAGAAAAGUUAAUUCUUUUUCAAUUAAAAAGUAAAAUUAUGUAAAUGCGUAGGUAAUCCCUCUAAAUCUUGUGAUAGGUGAAAGUACAGGUAUUUUAAUUUGGAUAUCACAUUUUGUUAUGUUUGUAUGAAUUGGUAAUAGGCUUGGCAAACACUUCUAGAAACUGAAUCAGCAUUGAGAUGUGAAAACCUAAGUUAUUUAGUCCAAAUAAAAACAAUAAACAUCAAAGAUAAGAAGGCUACCACAGUCUUUAGGAAAAAAAAAUGUAUAUUGAUUCAAACUGUUGAUGCCUGACUACUGAUAGCCCACGUACCAAAUUGUGUGGUUUGAUUUUCUUAAUCUCACAAAAUGGCAAAUUGAUGACACAGUCAAUCAUUAUAGCACCAAGUAACAGCAGAUGACCUUGUCCAUAUGCAUUUUUAAAUUAAAACAAAAGAAUGAAAGAAAGGAAGCAACAGAUGUCCUCAUUUUACUUCUAAAUGUAGUGUUAAAAGGGGAGCCCAUUCAGUUGGUGUUUAUCUCCCUUUCUGUAGUCUGAUUUCAUGUUGCUUGAGAUUCAAUCUGCCAUUGUUCUGUUCUCAAGGAAGGCCAAGAACUUCUGCUUGAUAAAAAGAACUUCAAAGGCACUUCUGUUUUGGAGACAAAUGAAGUUCACUUGGCUUAAAAGCAUGUUGCAAUCUGAGUGGAUGGGAUGAUGGUUACUGAGGUGGCAGGAGUCCAAGGGCAGGAAGACCCCCUCUGAAGAUCUGUAGCUUGGUGUUCAAGGACACCUUCAAUAGAGGGACAGGGUUGAUAGCUUUCUUUUCUAAUUGAACAAGACAGAUAAUUGAUCAUGAGAGUGGUUAGAGAUGCUGCUACCAUGAAAAUGCAUAUCUAUAUCUGGAAGGGAAAUUUACGCUCAAUAGCAGUGCUUAAGGAGACAAUGUAUUAUAGCUACACUGACCUUUACUUACAUCGAAAUAACCAAGGUGGUAUUUUCCUGUUUUCAACUUCCUGAUAGCAAAUAUACUGCUGAGCCUCCUUGAAGUUAUAGCCAUUCUAGUUCACAAUCAAUACAAUAAUAUCUGCCAAGCAAACAUCCUAGUUGCAGACCAUGACAUGUGCAUGUAUGUAGAGCUUUUUCUUAAAUACGUUGUUUCUAUUCUUUCCCACAUAACUAUGAUAUGAGAAGACACUAUACACAACAUAAUUUUGCCAUUUAUUCAUCAACUCUGCUUGCCUGGCUUCCAAGAUGCUGCAUAUUCCAUCUCAGGAAAUACUACUUAUCAUUGCUCUACUUCACAUAAUUUUAUUUAAAUCAUUUGCUUAAUUUUCCUAGACAUAUUUCAUUUAUCACUUUUAAUUAAUACAACUUGAGUAUAUUGUUAUAUUUCUCGCUGAGGAAGGAUUCAUAUGAGAUGAGCAAACAGUGACCAGUACUUAAAUUCUUUCCUGUCUAGUCAUAUCUUGGUUGCUUCUGUCAACUAUCUAUUUCCUCAAAAGACCACCAAAAUAACUUAUAAAUAAAACAAGAUAAAGGUGCUAAUUUGUAGAUAAGAUUAUUACUUGCCAAACUAAAGAACAUCAUUUCAUUGGUAGUCUUAAUAGUGUCUGGAAGUGGGAGGGAACAAAAAUGAAAUACUUGUGAGGUUUUUGAGGGGUUUGAUUUAAAAUAGGUCUGGAGUUCCCGUCGUGGUGCAGUGGUUAACGAAUCCGACUAGGAACCAUGAGGUUGCGGGUUCGGUCCCUGCCCUUGCUCAGUGGGUUAACGAUCCGGCGUUGCCAAGAGCUGUGGUGUGCGUCGCAGAUGCGGCUCAGAUCCUGCGUUGCUGUGGCUCUGGUGUAGGCUGGCAGCUCCAGCUCCGAUUAGACCCCUAGCCUGGGAAACACCAUAUGCCGUGGGAGCGGCCCAAGAAAUGGCAAAAAGACCAAAAAUAAAAUAAAAUAGGUCUUUUACUGUGAAGAUAUAUUUGGGGUUUGGGCAAAAUUCAUGAUAUAGUAACAUAGGAUUGUGGAUAGAGUUAAAUCAAGUUUCUGAAUUAAGUCUUGAGCAAUAAACAGUCAUUUGAUGAGCCUGGUUGAACGAAUUAUUGUCCCAAGUCCUUUCAUGAGGGCUGGCUGAGUCUUCCAAUGCUCAGAUAAAUGGAUUUUCAAAAAGGUAUUGAAACCACAAAUAAAUGUAUUUGCAUUUUCAUCUUCCAGGACAAGAGAAUUGUGAAAUAGUCAAGUCAUGUUAUUGCAGAUAGUUAGUUGAAAGAAUGCAGAUGAUUUCUCAUCUCAUUUCCAGAGAUCAGAAGGAAUCCGUUUCCAGAUGUUAGAGAGAAGUUGAAAAUAGGUAAAACCCUGUCUUGAGAGUUAUUAUAUAAAAGUUUAUUCCCACUGAAAGUUUUGGGCAAGCCCAGGAAAGGGCUUAAAUUUAACCUGGUACAAAAAAAUAAAACAAAACAAAACAAACACAAUAUCAAGAGUGAAGGGAAAGAAACCACUAAGCUAUGAAAACUCUUCAAAGGCCUGUAUCAUUUGUUCUCAGAGUACUCAAGGCUAUAUAGCAUUAUUCGUUACUGACUCUACAGACAAGGAAAAUAUAAUAAAAUGUUUUCUGAGGAGGCAGCUUGUUCCAAGGUAAGACUGAGUUUAAUAACCAACAUUGUUCUUGGCCCAAAUGUCAAAAGCUUUGUGUUCCUCUUCAUUGUAAUCAAACUGGUACUAAGACACAUAAAGAGGGAUAAACACACAUUUUUGCUUGAGUAAAAUUUAACUUUAAAAAAAAAGGAAAACUCUUGAAAAUGAUAGUUCAUUGCAGGGAAGCCUCACUAUAAAUAUGACUAAUGAUAACAGAGAAUUCAUUUGAGUAUAGCUUCUCUUUCCUAAAGGAUUUAAUUAUUGAGACCAUUAAAAAUAUUUUAUAGUAAUAGAGUCUUAAUUGCAACUGAGUCAUAUGAAAUAACCCUAAGUAUAACAUCAAAAUAAGUUUGACAUGGUACCAUUUAUACUAAUAAAACCUCUCAAGGGACAUUUUUAAGAAACACUGAGUCCAUGUUUUGCUAAACUACUAUGUUUUUGUUUUGUUAAAUGAGUGUUUUAACUGAGGAGAAAUGUUGUAAUGAAAAAUAGUGAGGAUUUUAAACUGCCGAGUAAGAAGAAAAGAAUUGGAACUCUGAUCAGCUGAGAAUAGGAGUUUUGAGGGGAUGAGGAUGGCAGAGGUAAAGAGAAAGGUGAAAUAAGUUGUUGCAGGCAGCCUAUGAAGUAAGCCCCAGUGACCUCAGCCUCUAAGGAUGCAUUCCCUUUUGCAGUCUCCUCCCCUGGAGCAUGGGCUGUUUAGAGACUCACUUCUGACAGGCUGUAGUAGAACAAUGGGAUGUUCUUUCAGGAUGAGAUUAUGAAAAGGUAGUAGCUUUCAUUUUGAGUGCUCUCUCUCUCUCUCUCUCUAAUCCUUUGCUUUGAGGGAAGCCAGCUGCCAUGUUGUGACUAGCCCUGAAGAGAGACCCAUAUGGAGCAGAACCAAUACCUCUGGACAUGGUGAGAACAAUCUCAUGAGUGACUUGGAAGUGCGUCCUUUCCCAGGUGAACAUUGAGCUGGCUAUAAUCCUGUUCAACACCUUGAUGGCAGCCUUGUGAGAGACUGAGACAGAGACGCUCAACUGAGACAUGUUCAGAUUCUUGGCCCACAAAAACUUUGAGAAAACAAAGUUAAUCUUUUAAGCUAUUAGGGUUUUGGAAGAAUUUGUUACCUUGCAGUAGAUAACUAAUUCAUCGGUAUUUAAGUUUUUGCUAUGUGUAUUUUAUGUGAAUCCUCUUUCCUACUUUUCACAACUCCCAAAUUUUAAGUAAGAGACUGAGCUCUCAACUGAUUUGGGGGGUGCAAGGAAAAAAAAUGAGUAAUACUUCCAGAUGACUGUGACUUUCAAGAGAGGCUAAUUGCAUCUAGGGUGUAUUUUUCUAAUUGGUUGUUAUAAAUCCCAAAGAGAUCUUUUAGGGACACAAAGAAGGACAAGGUAAGUACCAAUGUCAUUUUUGAAUGAGUUGGCAGUAAGAUGUGGUCUUAUCUUGCAUAAAUCUACAUCUGACCUUUUACUUUCUAAAGUUUAAUCAAUGCUUUAUAGAGGAGCAAUUACACCUACUAAAUAAAAUAAGUCACUGGAACAGCAGUGAUUUUUUCUUCUUUCUUUAAACUUGUAAGCAAUGGUUCUAGAAUGUCACAAACAAAGGAGAAAGUUGAUCAGCCUCUUGCAUUUUCAAAAUACAGUAAGUGAAUUGUUAUAUUAGAAAAAGAAAUGUAAAGCAUACAUGUGAAGAGAAAUAGAACAUUGUGCUUUCAUUCUGAAAAUAAUUUAUGAACUUAAAAAUAAAAUCUAUGGGUUUUGUUUGAAAAAACAAACAAACAAAACCAUAGUAUAAAGUUAUGUGGGAAGAAGAGAUAAAAAGCCAUCCAUCCACUCCAUACAUGUAACUAGUCAAAAGGGAUUGUGAUAUUUUUCUAGACACAUCCUAUGCCAAGACAAGUGAGAGGCAAAAAGAAAGCACUCAAUAAAUAUUUGUGAAAUGAGCACAAAAUAUAUUUGCUAUAUUUUAAUUGACAGUUUUUAUUAGAAUGUGAAUAUUAUCUGAAGCCAAAAAUCCAUGACACAGUAAUUUACCUUCUUAAGAGAGAUUCUGGAUGACCUGCAGGAGAAGAGCUAGAAGAAUGCUCCAUGAUUUAUGUCUAGAAGGUUUGAGAUGCUCAGGAGCAAGAGAGCCAUCUGCCUUUUUAGGAAGAACUGUACCAUAGUCACUAUCAUCCCCAGGGGAGAGAAGGGAGUGGCUUUCCCCCAAAUGCAACUUUUCCUUCUCUAUCCUCAACCCUCAAUCUCACUUCAAAACCCAGUGAGGCUUCAAGAAAACCACUAAUAUAAAAUGGAAUUUUUUGCCAAAGAAUAAACAUAUUUGCAGAGCCUAUGACUGGAUGGAUGUCUCCUCAGCUCCAGACCAUGAGCCCAGACUUGGAGAAGCUUACCGAGUUCUUGUCAGUUUUGAACUGUUUUUCCUGCAGUUUAGGAGUUCCUAAAAGGGGGCUCCCAAGACUCUCAUGUCACAUGACUCUAAAGGAAGAGUCUGCUUGGAAUUGCUUUAAUAGCAAGAAGAAACCAAGAUGGUGGCUGCUGUAGAAGCCUAGGUGUUCAAACAGUGGCCAGUAGCAUGGGACACAGCCCUGUUGGAGCCAUCUUAAAGCACUCCCCCAUUGAGAAAUCCAUGUGACAUAUUUACAUGUGAUGGUUAAAGCUCCAAGUUCAGGAGUUCCCGUCAUGGUGCAGCAGAAGUGAAUGCGACUAGGAACGAUGAGGUUGUGGGUUUGAUUCCUUGCUUCGCUCAGUGGGUUGAGGAUCCGGUGUUGCUGCGAGCUAUGGGGUAGGCCAUAGCUAUGGCUUGGAUCUGGCCUUGUUGUGGCGCUGGCAUAGGCCUGUGGCUAUAGCACCAAUUGGAUCCCUAGCCCGGGAACUUCCAUGUGCCAUGGGUGUGGC
This 6364-nucleotide long non-coding RNA is filed under the name Sus scrofa (pig). Its description in RNAcentral is "lncRNA (ENSSSCG00000062863.1)". The record is from RNAcentral. Lineage: Eukaryota; Metazoa; Chordata; Mammalia; Artiodactyla; Suidae.